RNAcentral lists this ribosomal RNA (511 nucleotides) under uncultured bacterium. RNAcentral's name for it is "bacterial SSU rRNA". It matches the Rfam family "Bacterial small subunit ribosomal RNA", at positions 47 to 531 of the family's 1533-position model. The record is from RNAcentral.
CUUAACACAUGCAAGUCGAACGAGAAACUCCGAGCUUGCUCGAGGGAGUAAAGUGGCGCACGGGUGAGUAACACGUGGGUAACCUACCCCCGAAUCCGGGAUAACCUCGCGAAAGCGUUGCUAAUACCGGAUAUUGUCCUAUCGGUUGUGACCUUUGGGAUGAAAGGCAACCUCUUCAUGAAAGUUGUCGUUCAGGGAUGGGCCCGCGUACCAUUAGCUUGUUGGUGGGGUAACGGCCCACCAAGGCUGCGAUGGUUAGCUGGUCUGAGAGGAUGAUCAGCCACACUGGAACUGAAACACGGUCCAGACUCCUACGGGAGGCAGCAGUGAGGAAUUUUGCGCAAUGGGGGAAACCCUGACGCAGCAACGCCGCGUGAGUGAAGAAGGCUUUCGGGUCGUAAAGCUCUGUCAAGUGGGAAAAAAGUCUGAUGAUUAAUAGUUGUCAGAUCUGAUGGUACCACUGGAGGAAGCACCGGCUAACUCCGUGCUAGCAGCCGCGGUAAUACGGAGG